GUUAAAAGCUAGGGCUAGGACUUGGAGGAUGUGUAGGCAAACGGAAGGAGAGCCGGGGGAAGAAAAGCCGAAAUGGAUUCAUUCUCCGUCCUGGCUGGAGGAGGAGAGGAGCGGGGACGUGCGGGCUGCCUGCAGCUGCCUCUGUCCGGUGAGAAGUGCUCAGAGCCCCGCGGCUGACUCGGGCUCAGGAGUCCGCGCGGACUUUCGCUCUAAGCUGCCAAUCAAACCGCUAACUAGCCACCACCCUGCGCUGGCACCGACAU
This is an unclassified non-coding RNA of Numida meleagris (helmeted guineafowl), 263 nucleotides long. Lineage: Eukaryota; Metazoa; Chordata; Aves; Galliformes; Numididae. The record is from Ensembl.